Molecule: long non-coding RNA, 1337 nt
Organism: Spodoptera frugiperda (fall armyworm)
Lineage: Eukaryota; Metazoa; Arthropoda; Insecta; Lepidoptera; Noctuidae
Exons: 6
Source: RefSeq, a predicted model, not a curated record
CACAUUAACAUCAAAAUAUAAUUAUCAUCAACUCAAGGUUCUUACAAACAAACAAAUAGGAAAAAAAAAUAAUUGAAUAAAUUACAAUCCACUUAAACUCUUUCUCAAAACAUUGAACAUUAAAUAACAUUGUAUUAAAGUAACUUAACUAGUGAGCCAUCCUUCUCACAAACGAUAAAUAAAUACAUAUACAAUCAUCAUCAGAUCACGGAAGCAGUGAGCUCUCCUUCUCACAUACCGAGGUGCCUGUGUUUGUGAACCCUCCUUCUCACAAACGAUAAAUAAAUACAUAUACAAUCAUCAUCAGGUCACGGAAGCAGUGAGCCCUCCUUCUCACAUACCGAGGUGCCUGUGUUUGUGAACCCUCCUUCUCACAAACAAUAAAUACAUACAUAUAAAAUCAUCAUCAGGUCACGGAAGCAGUGAGCCCUCCUUCUCACAUACCGAGGUGCCUGUGUUUGUGAACCCUCCUUCUCACAAACAAUAAAUACAUACAUAUAAAAUCAUACUCAGGUCACGGAAGCAGUGAGCCCUCCUUCUCACAUACCGAGGUGCCUGUGUUUGUGAACCCUCCUUCUCACAAACAAUAAAUACAUACAUAUAAAAUCAUACUCAGGUCACGGAAGCAGUGAGCCCUCCUUCUCACAUACCGAGGUGCCUGUGUUUGUGAACCCUCCUUCUCACAAACAAUAAAUACAUACAUAUAAAAUCAUACUCAGGUCACGGAAGCAGUGAGCCCUCCUUCUCACAUACCGAGGUGCCUGUGUUUGUGAACCCUCCUUCUCACAAACAAUAAAUAAAUACAUAUACAAUCAUCAUCAGGUCACGGAAGCAGUGAGCCCUCCUUCUCACAUACCGAGGUGCCUGUGUUUGUGAACCCUCCUUCUCACAAACAAUAAAUACAUACAUAUAAAAUCAUACUCAGGUCACGGAAGCAGUGAGCCCUCCUUCUCACAUACCGAGGUGCCUGUGUUUGUGAACCCUCCUUCUCACAAACAAUAAAUACAUACAUAUAAAAUCAUCAUCAGGUCACGGAAGCAGUGAGCCCUCCUUCUCACAUACCGAGGUGCCUGUGUUUGUGAACCCUCCUUCUCACAAACAAUAAAUACAUACAUAUAAAAUCAUACUCAGGUCACGGAAGCAGUGAGCCCUCCUUCUCACAUACCGAGGUGCCUGUGUUUGUGAACCCUCCUUCUCACAAACAAUAAAUACAUACAUAUAAAAUCAUACUCAGGUCACGGAAGCAGUGAGCCCUCCUUCUCACAUACCGAGGUGCCUGUGUUUGUGAACCCUCCUUCUCACAAACAAUAAAUACAUACAUAUAAAAUCAUCAUCAG